GUUUCCCCCUUCACUUUACCAAUUAGACUUUUUCUUGUCUUAAUUGGUCAUUCGGGGGGGUUACAGCAACUAUCCUUUUAAAACCCAACCAGAUUAUAUUUAACUGGCUUGGAUCCUGUCAGAGGAAACAGAU
This is a small nucleolar RNA of Naja naja (Indian cobra), 133 nucleotides long. Ensembl annotates it as small nucleolar RNA, H/ACA box 27. The record is from Ensembl. NCBI's taxonomy places the organism in Eukaryota, Metazoa, Chordata, Lepidosauria, Squamata, Elapidae.